GUGUCAGCCGCCGCGGUAAUACGAAGGGUGCAAGCGUUACUCGGAAUCACUGGGCGUAAAGCGUGCGUAGGUGGUUUUUUAAGUCUGUCGUGAAAGCCCUGGGCUCAACCUGGGAACGGCGAUGGAUACUGGAAAGCUAGAGUGCGGUAGAGGGGUGUGGAAUUCCCGGUGUAGCGGUGAAAUGCGUAGAGAUCGGGAGGAACACCAGUGGCGAAGGCGGCACCCUGGACCAGCACUGACACUGAGGCACGAAAGCGUGGGGAGCAAACAGGAUUAGAAACCCCUGUAGUCC
This 292-nucleotide ribosomal RNA is filed under the name uncultured bacterium. RNAcentral's name for it is "partial 16S ribosomal RNA". It matches the Rfam family "Bacterial small subunit ribosomal RNA", at positions 505 to 796 of the family's 1533-position model. The record is from RNAcentral.